UAUCUCGUUUUCUCGAAUUUUCGUUUAUUCGGCGGCCGCCCAAGGCGUCGCGUGCAACGCCGGUCGGCCGCUUACGUCAAUAAUCGCUCCGAUUGCUCCUCGUAAUUUUCUUCAAAAUGCAGAUAUUAAUCCCAAUAUUUAUUUAAGCUCGUAAAACUAUUUAUUUCGAACAUAGGAUAAAAAUUAUUAAACUUCCACAUUAUCCGGAAAUUAGUUAAAUAAUUCCCCAUAAGUAAUUUAUCGGCCCAAAACUUAAUUCGUUCCCACCUUAUGUCUUUAAUUUAAUUAAUCAAUACCCCACUAAAGAAGGCCCAAACCAUUUAAUUAAAAGUCCAAGAUUUAAUUAUUUCCUCCACUUUAUCUUCAAUUACAAUUUUAAGCCCAACAAUUAAACAUUCUACCCACUUCUAAUUAAUGAGGCCCAAACUUAAAGAAAACAAAAGCCCAAUAAUCCAAACUCCUUCCUUCACUCACGUAACACCCUCUCUCUCUCUCUACCCCCUUCUUCUUUCUCGACGGAAAUCGCAGCAGAUCGCCGCCUUGACCGCCUCCGCCGUCGGCCGCUGCUCUCGGCACGCCGUUCGCUCUGAGCCAUCUCCAGCCGCUGCACCCGACGCCGUCGCUGCUGUUUCGCGCCGCUGCCGCUCGUCGCCGGAGUCCGCCGCUGCUGUCUCGCCGUCCAGCCGCCAGCCACUGCGGUCGUCGCUCCCGGCGUUCAGUCAUCGCACAUCCAACUCCGCUGGGGCCGUCGGGAGAGCGACGCCGCUGCUGUCAGCGACGCGUGCGUCGGUAAUUUCCGCCAUCCGUUGCUCCGAUUCACCCCGAAUCAGACCCGACGCCCCCAACACUCACUCGAUUCUCCCCGCAAGUUAAGUUUCUCAGAUUCGAUUCCAGUUCAUUAAAGUUCGCUCCUUUUAUAUUUUUUUCCAGUUCUCUUUGAUUAAUCGUUUAAGAGGUAAAUUCACAGAUUUAUCGAUGAUAGCGUUUGACGUAAAGAUGCAGCAGUUUCAAAUCGAGAUUGGUUGGAGGGGGUGUAUACCUUCACUAAUCUGAGACGGGGAUGGGAAGAAAGAAACGAAGAGUGAAAUCUGUAUUAUAGAGGAGUAGUAGAUUUGGUGGAGAGAUUGGAGAGAUUUGGGGAGAGAUUCAUGAGAGAGAGACGGUUGCAGCAUCGUGUGUUGGGGAGUGGGAGUUUCGGUUUCUUUCCUUUUUUUUCUCUUUCUGAUUUACUUGAAUUUAUCUGGUAUUUUAUUUAUAGGUUACGGGGAGGAACAAUUCCAUCACGGAGCAGGAAAAUCUACGUAAAAUCUUUAAUUAAAUCUUGAAUUAAAGAUAUUUUAUUUUAGUUGGUUUAGAUUAAUUCACAGCCCGUUGUAUUUUAUUUUAAAUUGUGCAGUCCAUUUAUUUAUCACGGACUGGACCUUUAUUUAA
Salvia splendens (bonfire salvia) is the source of this 1431-nucleotide RNA transcript. RefSeq lists it as uncharacterized. Lineage: Eukaryota; Viridiplantae; Streptophyta; Magnoliopsida; Lamiales; Lamiaceae. The record is from RefSeq and is a predicted model, not a curated record. The transcript has 2 exons.